CGGCUCUGCUGCCUUCCAUAAAAACUGCUGCAAGAGCUGUCUCAGAGAACCGAAAUGAAAGCUGUUUUACUAUAAAGAAUAUAUUGUCUUCUGCACUUUGUGGGUUGAGGACCACUAAAAGUACUCACCCCAGGAUACAGUGGGCUUGGUGACCUAUGACUUUGAAGUCCAUUCUCGCCCCCACUGACCACCCGCUGGAGCCCAGGAUAGUUAUCUAACCCCUGCUUAAACCCGAGAGGCUCUGCCACCUGCUGUUUCAGCUCCUGUGACUGGCUUGCUUGCACCACGCUAAGGAAAGUCCCUCCGCUGUGGUUUUUGUCCUUAAAUUCCAAAGACACUGGGCAGGAAAUUGCUGUUCUCCCAUAGAGCUUCAGUCUCCGUGGGUGGGUGACAGUCCCUGGCCUGGUACAUAAGCUCUUUUGUUUGAAUUUGGACUUAGGUGUUUUCUGAACAGCUCCUCAUAACAGCAGGGUGCUAGUGGUUCUGAUGUCAUCCUCAGAUGGUGUCCUUUGCCUCUGCCCUUUUCUCUGCUGCCAGUCCCUGGGGGUGACACCCAUUCCCAUGGAUUGCGAGACAGCUAACUGAUGAAGCUCGCUGUUUUUUCUCUUUUCUCCUCAACUUUUCCAAGUCGUGUUAUUCGUAGGUUGUCACACCAGGCAACGUUAGUGCGUGCGUCUUUCACUCUGUCGUCCCCAGGGGCAGAUUUGAACACACAGCCAUAGGGAGGUGAGCCUGUGUUCCUUUCCGGGGCUCCUCAUGUCUGAAAUCUGCAGCUUCCUGGACUUUCAGGUGUCCUUUAGCCCAGGUUACAGUGAUUGCUCAGAGAGCCACGGCCUUGCAGAAACGGGAGACGUUUUCUCUGCAGGUAUGAAAUCUGGCCUGGCUUGACCUCCCUGACAUUUUGAAGAUGCCCUUCCCUGUGGCCUUGCUUUGCUAUUGUUUUUGAGACAUCUGACCUCAGGUAGAACUUUGCUCUCAUGGAGUUACUUUUACUUUGUGUGUGAAACAGUUUCAUUAGGGACUUUCCAGAUCAUUACCCAGAAUUCCGCAGGCUGGAGCCCCCCAGGCAGAGCCGAGUCUGUGGAGCUUUUUCUUGGACAGUGGUUGUCGACCCCGCCCCCAUCUUCCCGGGCUCCACUUGUGCAGGUGUGAGUCCUCCUUUGCAAGCUUCCUCUUGUACCACGUCCUCUCUGGCCCUUACGCCCUCCUGAUGGAGGAUGCUCUCCCCUCCGCGAGGCCUCUCUAAGUCCACUCUUCCUGGGCAUCUCAUACUUCAGUCCUCAUUUCUGGGAUGGAUCUGUCUGUUUCUUCAUUUCUUUUCUGAUGUCCGUCUCUUUGUGUCCUCCUGCCUCUGUCCACGUGUGUUCUUAGCUGGGGGAUUUCUGAGUUGAGAGGGGCUUUCAGAUCCUAGUACUUCUGUGAGUUCGUAGGAUUAGGUUUGGGAUGUCGUCCUGUGUUUUCCCUGUUCAUUUUUUCCUGGGAAGGGGAAGUUUACCAGGAGAGCUGAGUGAUGAUCACCUCCUGGUUCUUGUGGUGAUGAGACUCAACUUUCCUCUGUCCACUUCAUGCCCUGGGGGAGGUCACAGGACCCUGCUCCAGUCAGUGUGGGGCUGUCUUCUCUGGAUCUCGUCUUCACUCUGAGGUGGCCUCGGGAGGGAAGGGCUCUGUGUCUUCUGGAGUGUCUGGUUCAUUUCUUCUGAGGGGACUGGAUCCUCCCC
Molecule: long non-coding RNA, 1718 nt
Filed under: Marmota monax (woodchuck)
Lineage: Eukaryota; Metazoa; Chordata; Mammalia; Rodentia; Sciuridae
Source: RNAcentral